RNAcentral lists this ribosomal RNA (496 nucleotides) under uncultured bacterium. RNAcentral's name for it is "partial 16S ribosomal RNA". It matches the Rfam family "Bacterial small subunit ribosomal RNA", at positions 30 to 523 of the family's 1533-position model. The record is from RNAcentral.
AUUGAACGCUGGCGGCAUGCUUUACACAUGCAAGUCGAACGGUAGAGGGGGCAACCCCUUGAGAGUGGCGAACGGGUGAGUAAUGCAUCGGAACGUGCCCAGUCGUGGGGGAUAACGCAGCGAAAGCUGUGCUAAUACCGCAUACGAUCUCUGGAUGAAAGCGGGGGACCGAAAGGCCUCGCGCGAUUGGAGCGGCCGAUGUCAGAUUAGGUAGUUGGUGGGGUAAAGGCCAACCAAGCCAACGAUCUGUAGCUGGUCUGAGAGGACGACCAGCCACACUGGGACUGAGACACGGCCCAGACUCCUACGGGAGGCAGCAGUGGGGAAUUUUGGACAAUGGGCGCAAGCCUGAUCCAGCAAUGCCGCGUGCAGGAAGAAGGCCUUCGGGUUGUAAACUGCUUUUGUACGGAACGAAACGGUCUGGGUUAAUACCCUGGGCUAAUGACGGUACCGUAAGAAUAAGCACCGGCUAACUACGUGCCAGCCGCCGCAGUAA